RNAcentral lists this long non-coding RNA (645 nucleotides) under Numida meleagris (helmeted guineafowl). Its description in RNAcentral is "lncRNA (ENSNMEG00000001852.1)". The record is from RNAcentral. Lineage: Eukaryota; Metazoa; Chordata; Aves; Galliformes; Numididae.
GUCAGAAGAAGCAGGAAACCACACACACUCCGUGGUUUUCUGGCUAUAAUCUUGUUGCAGAUCUGUGUAGAAAUAGAUCGUUGCUGUCAAUCAAAUAAGGGCUAUGACAGAAAUUUGAGAUAAGACUUUGACUACAUCAUAAUGACACAACUAUAUAAAGCACUGGUUCAGUGCUUUAAUAAUCUUCGGCAAGUUACAGUAUGGUGCGGAAUGACUUUUGGUCUCCUAGAGCUGGUUGAGAAUUAAAUGUACCGCCCACAGAAACCUAAAAUCCCAGGAACAUGGACUGUUUUUACCGACACAAUUGCUAAGAAAGAUUUCUCUUCUGUGGCUGAGAUUUCCAUGUUAGAAAACUCCCUUUUACCUGGACUCAUGGUUCUGCUCUUAAAAGAAUUGGGAUGUGAGAAAGGAUAGUGAGCAUUGUUCCUGUGGAAGCUCCAUAUCAGACCUGGAGGUUCAGAAGAAGAAAUUAUUCCUUCGCAUUUGGAAACAAUAUCAGAAUUGAUUUCUUGGUGCAUCAGAAGCUCCAGAUGUGUCAGAGGUGAGUGCAAGAAAUUAUAGACAAGGCAACUCAAACUAGAUUUAUGUAUUGUGAGGCUUCUCCUUAGCCCUCCUCUUAAAAAUGUUUUUUUUCCUCUUUUUCCA